RNAcentral lists this ribosomal RNA (401 nucleotides) under uncultured bacterium. RNAcentral describes it as "bacterial SSU rRNA". It matches the Rfam family "Bacterial small subunit ribosomal RNA", at positions 29 to 422 of the family's 1533-position model. The record is from RNAcentral.
AACGAACGCUGGCGGCGCGCCUAAUACAUGCAAGUCGAGCGAGAAGACGUAGCAAUACGUUUGUAAAGCGGCGAACGGGUGAGGAAUACAUGGGUAACCUACCCUCGAGUGGGGAAUAACUAGCCGAAAGGUUAGCUAAUACCGCGUACGCUCCUUGGACUUCGGUUCAGGGAGGAAAGCGAUACCGUGGGUAUCGCGCUCUUGGAUGGGCUCAUGUCCUAUCAGCUUGUUGGUGAGGAACGGCUCACCAAGGCUUCGACGGUAGCUGGUCUGAGAGGACGAUCAGCCACACUGGCACUGCGACACGGGCCAGACUCCUACGGGAGGCAGCAGUAAGGAAUAUUGCGCAAUGGGCGAAAGCCUGACGCAGCGACGCCGCGUGGGGGAUGAAGGUCUUCGGA